RNAcentral lists this ribosomal RNA (507 nucleotides) under Carnobacterium maltaromaticum. Its description in RNAcentral is "bacterial SSU rRNA". It matches the Rfam family "Bacterial small subunit ribosomal RNA", at positions 9 to 494 of the family's 1533-position model. The record is from RNAcentral. Lineage: Bacteria; Bacillati; Bacillota; Bacilli; Lactobacillales; Carnobacteriaceae.
GAGUUUGAUCCUGGCUCAGGACGAACGCUGGCGGCGUGCCUAAUACAUGCAAGUCGAACGCACGAAGUUGAAGAGCUUGCUCUUUAACGAAGUGAGUGGCGGACGGGUGAGUAACACGUGGGUGACAAGCAAAUUAGAGGGGGAUAACAUUCGGAAACGGAUGCUAAUACCGCAUAGUUUCAGGAUCGCAUGAUUCUUGAAGGAAAGGUGGCUUCGGCUACCACUAAUGGAUGGACCCACGGCGUAUUAGCUAGUUGGUGAGGUAAUGGCUCACCAAGGCAAUGAUACGUAGCCGACCUGAGAGGGUCAUCGGCCACACUGGGACUGAGACACGGCCCAGACUCCUACGGGAGGCAGCAGUAGGGAAUCUUCCGCAAUGGACGAAAGUCUGACGGAGCAACGCCGCGUGAGUGAAGAAGGUUUUCGGAUCGUAAAACUCUGUUGUUAAAGAAGAACAAGGAUGAGAGUAACUGCUCAUCACCUGACGGUAUUUAACCAGAAAGCCAC